This is an RNA transcript of Spinacia oleracea (spinach), 1462 nucleotides long. It is a transcript of the gene named putative acyl-coenzyme A oxidase 3.2, peroxisomal, with no coding region annotated. The record is from RefSeq and is a predicted model, not a curated record. The transcript has 6 exons. Lineage: Eukaryota; Viridiplantae; Streptophyta; Magnoliopsida; Caryophyllales; Amaranthaceae.
GCCAGCUGCUUUCGAUUAUCCUCUCACUCAGUAAUGACGCCCAACCUCCUCUCCCUCAGUAAUGGCGCCCAACCUUCUUUGCCAUAUGUGAUCUUCUCCUCUCCCUCAGUAAUUGCACCCAGAAAAACUCACCAGCCAAGCCGUCUCAACCUCAACCACCGUCUCCGUCACCUCCUUGCCGACGUUGAUGCGCGUUCCUUCUCCUUCUGUAGACCGAAUAAUGGUGGCCGACAGGGUAGGACAGCGAAGAGUAGAGAGAUUUGCAGCAUUUCUUGCUCCAUUGACGUCUGGUCGUGUCAAUAUUGCAGUCAGUUCCAUUUACAUAUCAAAGGUUGGUUUAGCUACCGCUUUAAGGUAUUCUUUGUCAAGGCGAGCCUUUUCUCUAGCAGCAAAUGAACCUGAAGUGUUAUUGCUCGACUAUCCAAGCCACCAGCGCCGACUCUUGCCUCUUCUUGCAAAGACGAUAUCAGAAUGUUCUUCAAGAGAACCGCAAAAUGUACAACAUAAUGCAAGACCUGAAGGGUAAGGUGGACAAGGGACAUCUUCUUAUGAAGACACCUCUUUUAUAGGUCUAUUUUUUCUGACCCUGUGAUCUGUGUCCUAGCGUUGGAUCUGGUUCAAGGUCCUCUUCUUAAAGGUGUUGCGUGCACCAAGUUCCACUCGAAUACGAGUCUCCAUCAACUUUACCGAAUGGCUCUGUGUAUUGUGGUAUAUUGUACUUGAAGAUUUCAACAGAAACAACAGAGUAGCAGCUCCCUAUUAAAAGAAAUGCAGGUUAUGAUGUGCCUUUGAUGUCUGCAGUUCAAGAAUCUGCAAGGUUAUAUGCCUUAGUUUUUUGAUCCGGCUUGUGUCUUGGUUUCGUCUAUUGGCUCCUUUGCACUUCUGUUCUGCUACCUUUUGUUCUGGUACAGUUCAACGUGUUGGUACAAUGUUGUGGUUGUACCUGCUGCUGCUGAUCUUAUGGGCAGACUUCAGAAGCUGCUGACUGCAGUUCAGUUUCCUGGCUCGUUAUUUUCUUUGUGUGGUCCAGUGGCUGCUGUGCAGGCUGGUCCUUUUUCCUGCUGUUGUUUUUGUGCUUCCUCCUGCUGGUGCAAUAUGAUCUUGCUGUUGGUGCUUGUCUUCACGAGUGCAGGUUCUGUUGCUGUUUGGGCUGCAUCAGUUCUUUCCUAUGCAUUUGUGUUGGCUUGCUGGUUGGGUUGUUGCUGUCCUGCUAUUGCUGCUGGUCUUUGCUGGUGCUCGACUGUUGUUAGGCUUUUGCUUUUUUGUUUGUACGGGUUGCGGGUGUGCAACCUAUUCUUUUUUUUCGUUUGUAUUUGUUUAGGACUUUGAUUUUUCUACCUGUUGGUCCUAAAAUAUGUUAUUUACAAAAUAAAAUAAAUAACCCUCUCAGAUAUCAUAGUGAAAAAAAAAAUAAAAAAAAUUAGAUAUCACGGAUUUUAUUAAAUUGUUAACUUAAAUAAAA